UACGUAGGGGGCGAGCGUUGUCCGAAGUUACUGGGCGUAAAGAGCGCGUAGGCGGGUUGGCAAGUCCGCUGUGAAAGCCCGGGGCUUAACCCCGGAGGGUCGGUGGAUACUGCCAGUCUUGAAGAUACUAGGGGAAGAUGGAAUUACCGGUGUAGCGGUGAAAUGCGUAGAUAUCGGUAGGAACACCCGUGGCGAAGGCGGUCUUCUGGGGUAGUCUUGACGCUGAGGCGCGAAAGCUGGGGGAGCGAACGGG
RNAcentral lists this ribosomal RNA (253 nucleotides) under uncultured bacterium. RNAcentral describes it as "partial 16S ribosomal RNA". It matches the Rfam family "Bacterial small subunit ribosomal RNA", at positions 524 to 776 of the family's 1533-position model. RNAcentral also lists the same sequence under 1 other name. The record is from RNAcentral.